CAAAAUUUGUAUCCUCAGAUGAAAUGGAUUUGCAUCUUGUAAUGUGUUUAACAAAGCCACGAAUAACCUAUAAUGAGGAUGUACUGAGUAAAGAUGCUGGGGAAUGUGCAAUAUGCCUUGAAGAAUUGCAGCAGGGAGAUACUAUAGCACGACUGCCUUGUCUAUGCAUAUAUCAUAAAGGCUGCAUAGAUGAAUGGUUUGAAGUAAAUAGAUCUUGCCCUGAGCACCCUUCAGAUUAAGCGUCAGCUUCCUGUUUUAUAGGUUUUCUUGUCUUGACAAGAUGCUUGAAAAACCAAGAGGAUAUGAAAAUCUGUCUCUGGAGAAACAAAGACGCAGGCAUACUCAGCCAGAAAUCUGAGUUUUGUGAGACUUGGUAAUACAGAGAUGGACAAUCGUACUGGGGUAAAAAAACCCUGCUGAAGAGAGGACAGUGACCACAGAACUCAGUGUACCAAACAUGCAUACAAAGGACACACAGGGAUUUUGAAAAUGCUGCACAUCCCUUAAUAGUCAUCUACAUAGGUAAUACUGAUAAACAUUUUGUAUUCAGACGCCAAAGUUAACUGAUUUAAAAGUUGAUUUACUUUUUAUUAAGUUCUCCAGAGCUGCACAACUAGUUAUGUUUUGAUUUGUUUUGUUUUUUAAUUUGGGGUCUCUUUGUUUUCCCCAACAUAAUGUUCAUAAUGUUUCUGCAUUCAUCUGUUCUUAAAUUGAAAAACAUAUAAUUUACUUCUUAUAAAUUGAAGUCUUAAAUGUGAAACCAAGAAAUGUAAUCAAGCAGUAAAAACAU
This 790-nucleotide long non-coding RNA is filed under the name Homo sapiens (human). Its description in RNAcentral is "HSALNT0120672". The record is from RNAcentral. Lineage: Eukaryota; Metazoa; Chordata; Mammalia; Primates; Hominidae.